AGAAAGACCCGGAAGGAACCUUGGCUUUCGUAGGCGAGGUUUGCUCUAGGACUGGCCUCUUUAGGGUCAAGCAGAAAUUGUUUUCCACCCACGUCUGGAGCGAGGGUGAGAAGGUCGGAUUCGCUGGCUGGAAGGCUUUCUUUGCUUAUGGACAGCCGCUCCAGAAAGUGUCAUUUGGUAGCAUGUAAAUGAUUGUGGCAUUUUCCCUGAGCAGUGGUUUUUUAUGCCAUUUUCUAAGUCAGAAUGUAUCUGGCAUUUAAGUUGUCCUGGUCCUCAUAAUAGUUUCCUACUUCCUUGUCACACCGGAGAGAACCUCAAGUUCUUUGUGGGAGUUAUUUCAACCCAGCAGACCACGAAGCCAAGCAAAGCUGGAGCAUUUUCUUUCCAAUUCCAGGGGAGCCUCUGAGGUUUGUGAUCCUGAAUGUGGAGGCCGAUGAACAUAUUUGGAAGCAGAAAUCCAGCUUUCAAAGGAAGAAACCCCCUACGAGGGAGAUAUUUUGCCAGCAUUUCAUACACAGUUUUGCUAUCAAGAGACACCUGGGCCCCUGAGGCUCUGGGCUGAUUCCAGGCUCCAGGAGCUCUGCCACCAGUGACUGAAGCCAGAAGAGGUGGACCCUGGAGAUGCUAAGGCUGAGCAGUUCCUGACCAUCCUGCCCCAGGAGCUCCAAGCCUCGGUGCAGGAGCAUCCUGAGAGCAGGGAAGAGUUGCCAAGUGUGCUGGAGGAUUUAGAGGAAAAGCUGGAUGAGCCAGGAGAACAGCUGGGAGAGUGAAUGUGAGCCAUCUCAGGCAAGAGAGUUAAAUCUCUGGUUUGGUAGGAGGCAUCUACCCAGAGAUUGGACAGUGGCAUAUUUCAGUUUUCUCUAAGGUCCCAGGAAAUGCCCUGGAAGGAGGCAGAACCCAUGGAAACAGCACAGAGGUGACCACAUUUCAAGUUCCUGUUCUCUGCAAUCCAGUUAAAAAGUGAAUGUCCACAGUCCAACUGUUCCUUACAAGAGAAGGAUAAGGAGCAGGCUUCAAUCCAGUAUGAAGGGAGAGGAUGGGAGGAAAAUACAGUUUUCCUCUAUCUCAUCUAGGAAGCAAAAGUAAUAUUUAGAAUUGUGAGUUAGUAAGGGUGUAGGAACUCUGGGUUUCUGACUCUUGCUUUAGAUAUUUCACAAUAGCAUAUACGUCUAGGCAGUUUUAUUUUUUCCUUCUCAAUCAGUAUAUCUUUUAUUUCCUUUUCUUGUCUUUUUGUAUUAGAUAGGAUGGUGUGAAAUAAGAAUGAUAAAAGGAGGCAUCCUUGCCUUGUUCGUGAUCUUAGUGGGACAGCAUGUACUUUCUCAUCAUUAAAUAUGAUAGAAACCAUGGGGUUUUAAAAAAAUAGAUGCCUGUUAUCAAAUUGAGGUAAUUACCUCCUA
This is a long non-coding RNA of Sus scrofa (pig), 1397 nucleotides long. RefSeq lists it as uncharacterized. The record is from RefSeq and is a predicted model, not a curated record. Lineage: Eukaryota; Metazoa; Chordata; Mammalia; Artiodactyla; Suidae.